Molecule: non-coding RNA, 1420 nt
Organism: Salmo salar (Atlantic salmon)
Lineage: Eukaryota; Metazoa; Chordata; Actinopteri; Salmoniformes; Salmonidae
Source: RefSeq, a predicted model, not a curated record
GGGAACUGUCCUGUGGGGAUCCUUACUCUAGACGGGACUCAAACUGCUGCCUCAGGAAGGUCUCACAGGGAAGACUGGUGGUGACGGUGGUCAGAGCCUGGGGACUGUGGGGAGACUACCAAUGGAUAGCGGGAGACACUGAAGCGUACGCUGUGGUCACCUACGGUUCCAAGACCCAUCAGACCGAUGUGAUUCCAUCCAAUAAUCCUGUCUGGAAUGCUACCUUUGACAUGGGUCCCUUUGACAAAGACCUGAGUCUAAAUGUGGUGGUCUGGGAUUACGAUCCUGUGGAUAAAGAUGACAACCUGAGUGACUGUACCUUCGACCUCGAGCAGGGGAAACACGAACGCUGGUGUAACAACAGUGGGGAGGUCUUUUAUUUCCUGUACAACCUCACCUGUGACCCUCACCUGACCGGGGACAAGUGUGAAAAAUACAAACCUUUCAAAGCCACAACACACAAACCUUCCACGCCCACAGUGCACUCUAAUCCACUCUACAGUCAGAGUGUGCAUCUCUUUUCUACCUUUUCUGUCCAGAGUUCAGCAGUCCUAUACCUAUGGUUCUUUUACAUCUCUUUAUAAUGUACCCCUCACAACGCACUGUAGUAAAUUCAUUACAGGCAGUGGGACUGUUGUCUGUACAGCUCACCAGGAACCACGUUGAAAACAAGGGGAAUCAUUGGAAUAUGUUAUCCCCUAGGUUGUACUCAGUGCAUCUUUCUCCCCUCAAUCUUUCAAUCAAUCAUGUCUUUAUCUGUCCUGUGUAAUCAGGGAGUAUAUAGGAUUUAGCUGACUAUAUAAUGAUUAUUCACACCAAAGCCUGUCUGUGACCUAAACAAAUAAAAGGUUACCUUAUAUUUAAACGGCGGCUGUCAAACAAUUAAAAUACUGUAUGUGUUAUAUAAAAAAAACUCUAAAACCUCUAAAGCCAAAGAUGUCUAUGGUUUUGAUAAAGUGUUCUUGAUAUAUUUAAAAAUUUGACAAAGGGGAAGUGGUAGGAGCUGUGUUUUAUAUAUUUGCUAAAAGCAUUUGGUACUGUAAAUCACAGAAUACUACUCUCUAAUCUAGCAAAGUUAAAUUUCUCACCCAACGCUUUAAAAUGGAUGGAUUAGUUUAUCUGACAGAAUACAGUGUUAGAAUCAACCUGAAAGUCUAAUUGUCUGGCAACUGCACAAUGGGGUCCCACAAGGAUCCGUUUUAGGGCCUUUACACUUUUGUUUAUAUAUAAAGGACAUGCUUCAUGUGUCACGGUGUUGAUAUAUAAUAUGCAGAUGAUAUUGUUGUAUACACAUGCCGCAAGUGAAAAAUAAUAUCUGCACCAGGGACUACAGAUAGCCAGUUGUCUCAAUCUGGCAUAUUUACAGAAAUGUUAAUUGAUGUGCAUUGUCCCUGUUAAAUAAAUAUGUCAAUCAAAUGAC